UUUCUUUUGUAAUUCUCAAUGGUCAUAUUUUAUUAUCAUCACUGAAAUACACAAAAGUGUAAUACUUCCAAUGAUGUAUACAUACUUUUGUAGUGAAUUUGUUUCUAACGUUAUUUUCAUUUUCUUCAUGACAAUAUAAUUUCUUUUUAUUUCUUGCGAUGAAAUGUGGCGUGUGACAUGUUCUUGACAUGUUUAGUGAGAUUCACCCCCUCUAGAUGAUUUAGGCUUUCAUGAAGCAUCAGUGAGUGUCUUCGAUUCAGAUCUGAUCUCCUGAUUUGAGACGCUUGAAAAACGGGCCUCAAUAAUAAAUGCAUAUUGCAGGCAUAGAAACACACGUUAUGCUAAGAGAGCUUUGUGGAUGGCAGAACGUCUGACAGCGACAGCGAUCGCAGCAUUCACUCUUGCACACCGUGUGAAGUAUGAAGAGCUCUGCUCUGAUUAUGCUGAGAACCAGCAGAAGUGAAUGACAGCUUACGUCUAACAUCAAUCCUCUGUUUUGGUAUCUGUCCGGUGAAGGGAACAAACUGAAAAUAACAAACUGUAAAAUAGUAAUCAUAGUUCUGACUUGUACAUUAUGUAUGUUUAAACCUGGAAGAUUAAAAGAUAUGCUUAUGUUUUUCCCUGGACCCGGGGACUACAGGUGCUUCCAUCAUUUGACCAAGAAUGUGUUUCUUUAAUCGCUGUGUAUUCACAUAGAAUUAGUUUAUGUAUAUCAUACGCUUACCGUAGGUUGGAUCAUAUAACAACAGGUUACUUUGCCUUAUGUUGUUUGUUUUGCACCAUUUGAACUUGACAUGUUGACCUAUUAUUGAGUUUGUACACAUCAUAUGACAAUAACUUCGUUUUAAAUCGCUUCUGCAAUGUAGUCACUGUGGAACUUGCAAAACUGUGUGUGCUUUUUUAAGAUGUGUGUGUGUGUGUGUGUGUGUGUGUGUCCCAAGAGCCUCACUAGCCAAUGUAUUAUCAAACAUAUAAUGUGUCAGUUUUUGAUACUGUUUUCGAUCCGUCUGGAGAGACACUUUAUCAUGCAGUAAUGUGUUUGAGCUGCCUGUGAGCCCUACCAGCUCUUCUCUAUUGUGCCCUGGGAUUUCCAUCUUAUUUAAAUAAAGGGGCGGGGCUGUUGCACUUUUCCACAACCUAUAUUCUGACUAGUUCCCGGAAAUCCCGGCAUUUUACCUGCUCUAGUGAAAAAUUAAAUAAAAUAUUUUAAAUAAUUAAAAACUGCGUUCUU
Molecule: long non-coding RNA, 1231 nt
Filed under: Sinocyclocheilus grahami
Lineage: Eukaryota; Metazoa; Chordata; Actinopteri; Cypriniformes; Cyprinidae
Description: lncRNA (ENSSGRG00000018440.1)
Source: RNAcentral